GACGAACGCUGGCGGCGUGCCUAAUACAUGCAAGUAGGACGCAGUUGCGAACGGGUGAGUAACGCGUAGGUAACUGCCUAUUAGAGGGGGAUAACUAUUGGAAACGAUAGCUAAUACCGCAUACUAGUAGAUGGACCUGCGUUGUAUUAGCUAGUAGGUAGGGUAAUGGCCUACCUAGGCGACGAUACAUAGCCGACCUGGUACGGUGAGCGGGCACACUGGGACUGAGACACGGCCCAGACUCCGACUGGAGGCAGCAGUAGGGAAUCUUCGGCAAUGGGGGGAACCCUGACCGAGCAACGCCGCGGGAGGGAAGAAGGUCUUCGGAGCGUAAAGCUCUGUUGUUAAGGAAGCGGUACUUAACCAGAAAGGGACGGCUAACUACGGGCCAGCAGCCGCGGUAAUUC
RNAcentral lists this ribosomal RNA (407 nucleotides) under uncultured bacterium. Its description in RNAcentral is "partial 16S ribosomal RNA". It matches the Rfam family "Bacterial small subunit ribosomal RNA", at positions 28 to 526 of the family's 1533-position model. The record is from RNAcentral.